This 270-nucleotide unclassified non-coding RNA is filed under the name Hypocreales sp. RNAcentral describes it as "partial contains 5.8S ribosomal RNA, internal transcribed spacer 2, and large subunit ribosomal RNA". The record is from RNAcentral. Lineage: Eukaryota; Fungi; Ascomycota; Sordariomycetes; Hypocreales.
CGCACAUUGCGCCCGCCAGUAUUCUGGCGGGCAUGCCUGUUCGAGCGUCAUUUCAACCCUCAAGCCCCUUUGGACUUGGUGUUGGGGACCGGCGAUGGACAAACCGUCCUGUCGCCGCCCCCUAAAUGACUUGGCGGCCUCGUCGCGGCCCUCCUCUGCGUAGUAGCACACACCUCGCAACAGGAGCCCGGCGAAUGGCCACUGCCGUAAAACCCCCCAACUUUUUUCAGAGUUGACCUCGAAUCAGGUAGGAAUACCCGCUGAACUUAA